Molecule: non-coding RNA, 2818 nt
Organism: Xyrichtys novacula (pearly razorfish)
Lineage: Eukaryota; Metazoa; Chordata; Actinopteri; Labriformes; Labridae
Source: the annotation of a GenBank genome assembly
UUUGAGGCUCAGAAAACAAAGUAUAAAUCACAAACUGUGAGAUGUGACAGGAAAUGACCUCGUGGAAUUUCAGGCUGGUGUAGAUCAGAGCGGUGCUGUGGUCUGUGGGGGUCUGUGUUUGUCUGUGGGGGUCUGUGUUGGUCUGUGUUUGUCUGUGUUGGUCUGUGUUGGUCUGUGGGGGUCUGUGUUUGUCUGUGUUGGUCUGUGGGGGUCUGUGUUUGUCUGUGUUGGUCUGUGUUGGUCUGUGUUUGUCUGUGGGGGUCUGUGUUGGUCUGAGGGGGUCUGUGUUUGUCUGUGGGGGUCUGUGUUGGUCUGUGUUUGUCUGUGGGGGUCUGUGUUGGUCUGAGGGGGUCUGUGUUGGUCUGUGUUGGUCUGUGUUGGUCUGUGGGGGUCUGUGUUGGUCUGUGUUUGUCUGUGUUGGUCUGUGUUUGUCUGUGGGGGUCUGUGUUGGUCUGUGUUUGUCUGUGUUGGUCUGUGUUUGUCUGUGUUGGUCUGUGUUGGUCUGAGGGGGUCUGUGUUUGUCUUUGGGGGUCUGUGUUGGUCUGUGUUUGUCUGUGGGGGUCUGUGUUGGUCUGAGGGGGUCUGUGUUUGUCUGUGUUUGUCUGUGUUGGUCUGUGUUGGUCUGUGUUUGUCUGUGUUGGUCUGUGUUGGUCUGUGUUGGUCUUAGUGGGUCUGUGUUGGUCUUAGUGGGUCUGUGUUGGUCUGUGUUUGUCUGUGUUGGUCUGUGUUUGUCUGUGUUGGUCUGUGUUGGUCUGUGUUGGUCUGUGUUGGUCUUAGUGGGUCUGUGUUGGUCUUAGUGGGUCUGUGUUGGUCUGUGUUUGUCUGUGUUGGUCUGUGUUGGUCUGUGUUUGUCUGUGUUUGUCUGUGUGGGUCUGUGUUGGUCUGUGUUGGUCUGUGUGGGUCUGUGUUUGUCUGAGGGGGUCUGUGUUGGUCUGUGUUUGUCUGUGUUGGUCUGUGUUUGUCUGAGGGGGUCUGUGUUGGUCUGUGUUUGUCUGUGUUUGUCUGUGUUUGUCUGUGUUGGUCUGUGUUUGUCUGUGUUUGUCUGUGUUGGUCUGUGUUGGUCUGUGUUUGUCUGUGUUGGUCUGUGUUGGUCUGUGUUUGUCUGUGUUGGUCUGUGUUUGUCUGAGGGGGUCUGUGUUGGUCUGUGUUGGUCUGUGUUUGUCUGUGUUUGUCUGUGUUUGUCUGUGUUGGUCUGUGUCGGUCUGUGUCGGUCUGUGUUGGUCUGUGUUUGUCUGUGUUUGUCUGUGUUGGUCUGUGUUUGUCUGUGUCGGUCUGUGUGGGUCUGUGUUGGUCUGUGUUGGUCUGUGUUUGUCUGUGUGGGUCUGUGUGGGUCUGUGUUUGUCUGUGUUUGUCUGAGGGGGUCUGUGUUGGUCUGUGUUGGUCUGUGUUGGUCUGUGUGGGUCUGUGUGGGUCUGUGUUUGUCUGUGUUGGUCUGUGUUGGUCUGUGUUGGUCUGUGUUGGUCUGUGUUGGUCUGUGUUAGUCUGUGUUGGUCUGUGUUGGUCUGUGUUGGUCUGUGUUUGUGUUUGUCUGUGUUUGUCUGUGUUUGUCUGAGGUGGUCUGUGUUUGUCUGUGUUGGUCUGUGUUGGUCUGUGUGGGUCUGUGUUGGUCUGUGUUUGUGUUUGUCUGUGUUUGUCUGUGUUUGUCUGUGUUUGUCUGAGGUGGUCUGUGUUGGUCUGUGUUAGUCUGUGUUGGUCUGUGUUGGUCUGUGUUUGUGUUUGUCUGUGUUUGUCUGUGUUUGUCUGUGUUUGUCUGAGGUGGUCUGUGUUUGUCUGUGUUGGUCUGUGUUGGUCUGUGUUGGUCUUUGUUGGUCUGUGUUGGUCUGUGUUUGUGUUUGUCUGUGUUUGUCUGUGUUUGUCUGUGUUGGUCUGUGUUUGUCUGUGUUGGUCUGUGUUGGUCUGUGUUUGUCAGUGUUGGUCUGUGUUGGUCUGUGUUGGUCUGUGUUGGUCUGUCGGAGGCUCAGAUGGACCUGGACUGUGAUAUUCGAGGCUCCUGCUGCGGUGGGAGAGUCACGGCCAUCUGUCAGUGCGGAAAAGCUUCGCCGCUCCGAUCAACAUGUUUCCAUCAGUGACCACGAUGACCGGAUCAUUCUGCGGUUCUGUUCAGGACGUCCUCCAACAGAAUUAAAGUCUCUGGUCUUAAUAUCAGGGAGGAAAAAAGAGAAAAAAGAGAAAAAUCCUCUUUUUCUUCUUCUGAAGUCUUCCUCUGUUAGAGAGACCACGUCAUCCUCCUCCACCUGCUGCUCCUCCACCUGCUACUCCUCCACCUGCUGCUCCUCCACCUGCUGCUCCAUCCUUUUCACUCUGACUCUCACGUUCAGGUUUUAGCAUCAACAGCUGACUGAGGAGACGGUGUUCGAACCUCAGUCCUCUCAGCUGUGGAGUCACAGAAACCACGACAUGAAGAGACUUCUGAAAUAGGAACCUGGAGUCAGGGCUGAGCGAUGAAACGAUAACCAUCAAUAACGAAAAUUAAUUUCCCUCAAUAUCGAUAUAAAACAAAAAAGGGGAGUGUCUCCGGGUCUGAACCAAUCGUGUUCUGAAUUAGAACCAAGUAUCAACCAACUGCAGAGUGGUAUCAGUCUCUUUUCAUUGGAUCUGGUGGGUCUGCUCUGGUUUUGUUCCUCAUUGAUCCUGAUAAAUUGACCUGAUGGUCCUGAACCUGCAGCACUUAGUCGGGUCUGUUGGAGGUACCAGAGCAGACUUCAUGUUUUAUUAGUCCUCCCUGGUUUUCCUCUCUCUCUCUCUCUCUCUCUCUCUCUCUCUCUCUCUCUCUCUCUCUCCUCCUCUCUCUCUCUCUCUCUCUCUCUCUCUCUCCCUC